This is a long non-coding RNA of Salvia miltiorrhiza (redroot sage), 650 nucleotides long. RefSeq lists it as uncharacterized. NCBI's taxonomy places the organism in Eukaryota, Viridiplantae, Streptophyta, Magnoliopsida, Lamiales, Lamiaceae. The transcript is spliced from 2 exons. The record is from RefSeq and is a predicted model, not a curated record.
UCAAUAAUUGCGGACGUCCGCACUUUGCCGACGCCGCACCCAAGUUUUAGAGCGUUAUUGUUUUUCUAUAUAAAACCCUAGACUCCGUUCCUCUUCUUCACCCAUCCACAACACAUCGUAGUAAUUCCUGCGCCCUAGAUCUCCAUUUGCGAAAUUCCCCCAAAUUCACUUACCAAAUUUCUUGUUUUUUCUAACAAUUUAUACGGUUCGCAGACAACCCUAUGUAUAUGCAGCCUCAACUUUCGCACGUAGCAACCCGGGCUCCUCUGAAAAUUAUCUCAGGAAGAAAGAAGUCCCAACGCUCGUGCGAGAACGACGCCGUUUAGUGUUGCAGAUUUGCCUUUGUACAUUCUUCACGGCUUAUCUGUGUCAAAACAACGGCAACAUUCUUUUUAUGCGCUCGUAAAUUUCACUCUGUGUGUAUUUGUUGCAUUCGCUGCUGGAGCCCCGUUGAAGUGCGGAAUUAAGCUAAGUUGGUUUUUGAAGAAAUGUAGGGUGAGCAAAACUAAAUUAACAACGGAAUAAACUAUAUCCAAAUGUUGAAUUUUGGGUUAUUGGUGUAUUAAUACAAUAAUAACUUUGGUUUUGUAAUACGAACUUAAACAAGUAUUAAAUUUUCAAUUUAUUUAUCGGAGUAAUUUUGAUGGGAA